ACCUCGUUAGCUCACUUGGAUAGAGUGCCUGGCUACGAACCAGGAGGUAACACGUUCGAUUCGUGUACGAGGUUCCA
RNAcentral lists this transfer RNA (77 nucleotides) under Roseivirga misakiensis. Its description in RNAcentral is "tRNA-Arg(acg)". It matches the Rfam family "tRNA". From Rfam's summary of the family: Transfer RNA (tRNA) molecules are approximately 80 nucleotides in length. Their secondary structure includes four short double-helical elements and three loops (D, anti-codon, and T loops). The record is from RNAcentral. Lineage: Bacteria; Pseudomonadati; Bacteroidota; Cytophagia; Cytophagales; Roseivirgaceae.